Podarcis lilfordi (Lilford's wall lizard) is the source of this 243-nucleotide non-coding RNA. Lineage: Eukaryota; Metazoa; Chordata; Lepidosauria; Squamata; Lacertidae. The record is from the annotation of a GenBank genome assembly.
GACCCAAAAGGAAACAUGAACUUUCUACUGCUGUGUAGAUUAUAUUUCGGGCUUUCCUUACAUUAUUAUAAAGAUAGAGUGUUUUAAGGGGUUGUGGGGAAAGGUCCUGAAAUCACAGCCCUCCCCCAAAGUGCUUUCUUUCUUAAGAAAUUGAGGAAGAUAGGCUUUAAGAACAGACAUUAUUAUUAUUUAUAAAAUUUGUAUACCGCCCUUCAUCUGAAGAUCACAAGGUAGUCACAACAU